GUUGACCUUGGAUCAGGUAGGGAUA
RNAcentral lists this ribosomal RNA (25 nucleotides) under Paramycosphaerella intermedia. Its description in RNAcentral is "partial 28S ribosomal RNA". The record is from RNAcentral. Lineage: Eukaryota; Fungi; Ascomycota; Dothideomycetes; Mycosphaerellales; Mycosphaerellaceae.